This 497-nucleotide ribosomal RNA is filed under the name uncultured bacterium. Its description in RNAcentral is "partial 16S ribosomal RNA". It matches the Rfam family "Bacterial small subunit ribosomal RNA", at positions 28 to 507 of the family's 1533-position model. The record is from RNAcentral.
GAUGAACGCUGGCGGCGUGCCUAAUACAUGCAAGUCGAGCGAACAGACGAGGAGCUUGCUCCUUUGACGUUAGCGGCGGACGGGUGAGUAACACGUAGGUAACCUACCUAUAAGACUGGGAUAACUUCGGGAAACCGGAGCUAAUACCGGAUAAUAUUUCGAACCGCAUGGUUCGAUAGCGGAAGAUGGCUUUGCUAUCACUUAUAGAUGGACCUGCGCCGUAUUAGCUAGUUGGUAAGGUAACGGCUUACCAAGGCAACGAUACGUAGCCGACCUGAGAGGGUGAUCGGCCACACUGGAACUGAGACACGGUCCAGACUCCUACGGGAGGCAGCAGUAGGGAAUCUUCCGCAAUGGGCGAAAGCCUGACGGAGCAACGCCGCGUGAGUGAUGAAGGUCUUCGGAUCGUAAAACUCUGUUAUUAGGGAAGAACAAACGUGUAAGUAACUGUGCACGUCUCGACGGUACCUAAUCAGAAAGCCACGGCUAACUACGUG